GAUGAACGCUGGCGGCGUGCCUAAUACAUGCAAGUCGAGCGAACAGAUGAGGAGCUUGCUCCUCUGACGUUAGCGGCGGACGGGUGAGUAACACGUGGAUAACCUACCUAUAAGACUGGGAUAACUUCGGGAAACCGGAGCUAAUACCGGAUAAUAUAUUGAACCGCAUGGUUCAAUAGUGAAAGACGGUUUUGCUGUCACUUAUAGAUGGAUCCGCGCCGCAUUAGCUAGUUGGUAAGGUAACGGCUUACCAAGGCAACGAUGCGUAGCCGACCUGAGAGGGUGAUCGGCCACACUGGAACUGAGACACGGUCCAGACUCCUACGGGAGGCAGCAAUAGGGAAUCUUCCGCAAUGGGCGAAAGCCUGACGGAGCAACGCCGCGUGAGUGAUGAAGGUCUUCGGAUCGUAAAACUCUGUUAUUAGGGAAGAACAAGUGUGUAAGUAACUAUGCACGUCUUGACGGUACCUAAUCAGAAAGCCACGGCUAACUACGUG
Molecule: ribosomal RNA, 497 nt
Filed under: uncultured bacterium
Lineage: Bacteria
Description: partial 16S ribosomal RNA
Rfam family: Bacterial small subunit ribosomal RNA
Source: RNAcentral